GGGUCAGGUCAGCGGAAGUUGAAUGUUGUCCCACCAGAAGCUGAAGGAUAUACAGGAUCCUACAUCAUUAAAACGGCAGGAGGAAAGGGCUGUCUGUAUAUCCUGCCAUUACAGAACAGUCUAAAUAUCUCCCCUUUACCCUAUUCAUCACAAGAAUUUGAAAAAAUGCCAAAAGCACGAUGUGCUAAAUGCUUUACCGACAUGCCAAUUCAACUGCUGGCUAUGCAUGUUCAGGAGUGUGAGACAGGGAUAUGCAUUGAUAGCAGUGAUUGUGAAUCGGACACCAAAGACCCUGACACUGAAGUUCUAUCAACAUCCACUAAAUUGGAUACAUUUAGUGGCAAUUUCGAGGAUGAAUUGGAUACUGUGAAUUAAUUUGUGUCAGUGAUGGAUCCAAUGGUAUCUUGUCCAGUGUGUUCUGGAAUGUAUUCACAAGACUACAUUGAAGUACACGCGAGCACCUGUGGGGAAAGAUGUGAAAAUAGACCAAACAUGGAUUUGGACAUUACUGUGCAAAAGCCAGACAAGCAAAGCAGCAUUACAGAAGCAAUCCACAAACUCAAAGAAGCAAUAGAUCCUACAACUAUUUUCAGUGUCUGCGUCACAAGGGAGGACAUGUUUAAUCGAGGCUUGAUGCAAUGGAAACGUCAGAAGAAGUCUUCUCCAAAGAAUCCCCUCAGAGUAACAUUCAUUGGAGAGCCUGGGAUAGACAGUGGUGCCCUUAUGAAAGAAUUCUUGACAGAAAUGAUGGCUGGGAUUGAGGCAAAAUUCUUUGAGGGAGGCAAUUCUGGGAAAAAUCUGAAGUAUUCUACCACAGAUUUUCAGAACGACAAUUAUAGGACAAUUGGUGAAAUCAUGGCUGUAAGCAUUACACAAGAUGGCCCUCCCCCUAACUUUUUUCAGGAGUGGAUCUACAAUUUCAUCUCUUCUGGGGACAUUGAUAAAGAUCAGUUGUCAAAGGCUACAGUUACAGAUGCAGAUCUGCUAGACCUCAUCGAAAAGAUUGAGACAGCGGACGCUACAGCUCUUCUUGACCUUUUAGAAAGAAUCCUCGGAUGUGGGUACACUGGACCUCUAACAUGUGAAAGAAAGGAGGACAUUCUAAGUGCUGUUGUCCUACAUUCAUCUUUACAAAUACUUCCAAUGCAAC
Molecule: long non-coding RNA, 1150 nt
Filed under: Danio rerio (zebrafish)
Lineage: Eukaryota; Metazoa; Chordata; Actinopteri; Cypriniformes; Danionidae
Description: lncRNA (ENSDARG00000117279.1)
Source: RNAcentral